Molecule: unclassified non-coding RNA, 375 nt
Filed under: uncultured Actinomycetes bacterium
Lineage: Bacteria; Bacillati; Actinomycetota; Actinomycetes
Description: uncultured actinobacterium contains 16S-23S intergenic spacer region
Source: RNAcentral
UCCGGCUUAUCACCGGCGGUUUCUUUAGAGUGCCCAACUGAAUGAUGGCAACUAAAGACGAGGGUUGCGCUCGUUGCGGGACUUAACCCAACAUCUCACGACACGAGCUGACGCCAACCAUGCACCACCUGUAUACCGCCCUUGCGGACCCCGUAUCUCUACGAGUUUUCGGUAUAUGUCAAGCCUUGGUAAGGUUCUUCGCGUUGCGUCGAAUUAAGCAACAUGCUCCGCUGCUUGUGCGGGCCCCCGUCAAUUCCUUUGAGUUUUAGCCUUGCGGCCGUACUCCCCAGGCGGGGCACUUAAUGCGUUAGCUACGGCACGGAGACCGUCGAUAGGUCCCCACACCUAGUGCCCAACGUUUACGGCGUGGACUAC